This 273-nucleotide ribosomal RNA is filed under the name uncultured bacterium. RNAcentral describes it as "partial 16S ribosomal RNA". It matches the Rfam family "Bacterial small subunit ribosomal RNA", at positions 524 to 796 of the family's 1533-position model. The record is from RNAcentral.
UACGUAGGGAGCGAGCGUUGUCCGGAAUUACUGGGCGUAAAGGGUGCGUAGGCGGCCAUUUAAGUCUCGUGUGAAAGGUCCCGGCUUAACCGGGGAGCUGCAAGGGAAACUGGAUGGCUUGAGUGCUGGAGAGGGUUGCGGAAUUCCCAGUGUAGCGGUGAAAUGCGUAGAUAUUGGGAAGAACACCAGUGGCGAAGGCGGCAACCUGGACAGUAACUGACGCUGAGGCACGACAGCUGGGGGAGCGAACAGGAUUAGAAACCCCUGUAGUCC